UCUCAUGAACAACACAUGCCUCGCCAUGUGUCGUUAAUAGAAUACAUAGUCCUCUGCUUUAAAAAAUUAUGUAAGCUUCGUUUAUGUUUGUUGGAGCGUCGCCCCUUUAUACUGGAUAAGACACAAAUGACAUGUCUGAAAUCUGUAUUUCAACAUCCAAUUUGUAAUAGUCUGAAUAUGUCGGCAAAAGAUUAUGAAACUGAGAUUUAUAGCAUGUUAAACUUAAGUAUCUAUUUAAACGGCAUGCUUUAGGAUGUUUUCUCAUGAAUUGACUCAACAUAUCCGCGCUUGGAGUCAUCGUACCAAGAUAGCAAGAAAACAACAAAUUUUGCUGGGGAGCGUCUAUAGUACUGUCUUUCUUCUUUUAUCGUUUCUAGUAUAGUUUAUUAUGUUUUCUAACUUUUUUGCUUGUUGAUUGAGUUGUGUUUUCUUUUAGCGUUUUAUCUUAAAUACUUAGAGAAACAAAUAUCGUUAAUAUGGAUUUUUCCUUAUUCUCUUAGG
Molecule: long non-coding RNA, 501 nt
Organism: Solanum dulcamara
Lineage: Eukaryota; Viridiplantae; Streptophyta; Magnoliopsida; Solanales; Solanaceae
Exons: 3
Source: RefSeq, a predicted model, not a curated record